Molecule: ribosomal RNA, 1117 nt
Filed under: Candidatus Phytoplasma citri
Lineage: Bacteria; Bacillati; Mycoplasmatota; Mollicutes; Acholeplasmatales; Acholeplasmataceae
Description: bacterial SSU rRNA
Rfam family: Bacterial small subunit ribosomal RNA
Source: RNAcentral
CUAGUGAUAGGUAUACUUUAGGAGGGGCUUGCGCCAUAUUAGUUAGUUGGUAGGGUAAUGGCCUACCAAGACGAUGAUGUGUAGCUGGACUGAGAGGUUGAACAGCCACAUUGGGACUGAGACACGGCCCAAACUCCUACGGGAGGCAGCAGUAGGGAAUUUUCGGCAAUGGAGGAAACUCUGACCGAGCAACGCCGCGUGAACGACGAAGUACUUUGGUAUGUAAAGUUCUUUUAUCAAGGAAGAAAAGCAAGUGGUGAACCAUUUGUUUGCCGGUACUUGAUGAAUAAGCCCCGGCUAAUUAUGUGCCAGCAGCCGCGGUAAGACAUAAGGGGCAAGUGUUAUCCGGAAUUAUUGGGCGUAAAGGGUGCGUAGGCGGUCUAGUAAGUCAGUGGUGUAAUGGCAACGCUCAACGUUGUCCGGCUAUUGAAACUGCUAAACUUGAGUUAGAUAGAGGCGAGUGGAAUUCCAUGUGUAGCGGUAAAAUGCGUAAAUAUAUGGAGGAACACCAGAGGCGUAGGCGGCUCGCUGGGUCUUAACUGACGCUGAGGCACGAAAGCGUGGGGAGCAAACAGGAUUAGAUACCCUGGUAGUCCACGCCGUAAACGAUGAGUACUAAGUGUCGGGUUAAACCGGUACUGAAGUUAACACAUUAAGUACUCCGCCUGAGUAGUACGUACGCAAGUAUGAAACUUAAAGGAAUUGACGGGACUCCGCACAAGCGGUGGAUCAUGUUGUUUAAUUCGAAGAUACCCGAAAAACCUUACCAGGUCUUGACAUGUUUUUGCGAAACGGUAGUAAUAUCGUGGAGGUUAUCAGAAACACAGGUGGUGCAUGGUUGUCGUCAGCUCGUGUCGUGAGAUGUUAGGUUAAGUCCUAAAACGAGCGAAACCCUUAUCGUUAGUUGCCAGCACGUUAUGGUGGGGACUUUAACGAGACUGCCAGUGAUAAAUUGGAGGAAGGUGAGGAUCACGUCAAAUCAGCAUGCCCCUUAUGACCUGGGCUACAAACGUGAUACAAUGGCUGUUACAAAGGGUAGCUGAAACGCAAGUUCUUGGCCAAUCCCCAAAAACAGUCUCAGUCCGGAUUGAAGUCUGCAACUCGACUUCAUGAAGUU